Non-coding RNA from Lipotes vexillifer (Yangtze River dolphin), 73 nucleotides. The record is from the annotation of a RefSeq genome assembly. Lineage: Eukaryota; Metazoa; Chordata; Mammalia; Artiodactyla; Lipotidae.
UCCCUGGCGGUCCAGUGGUUAGGACUCUGUGCUUUUGCUGCGGAGGGCCCAGGUUCGAUUCCUGGUCGGGGAA